Molecule: long non-coding RNA, 205 nt
Filed under: Gossypium barbadense (sea-island cotton)
Lineage: Eukaryota; Viridiplantae; Streptophyta; Magnoliopsida; Malvales; Malvaceae
Description: long non-coding RNA (GBAR_LNC007878)
Source: RNAcentral
UCUAAACCCUAACCUUGAGCCCUAAACUAUAAAUCAUAAAGCAUGAGCCCUAAACCUUAAGACUUGAACCCGAAACACUAAACUUUUGAGCCGUAAAUCUUAAGCCCUAAGUCUUAAGUCUUAAACCUUAAACCUUAAACCUUAAACCUUAAAUCUUAAAUCUUAAAUCUUAAAUCUUAAAUCUAAAUCCUAAGCCCUAAACCCC